This 314-nucleotide small nuclear RNA is filed under the name Chinchilla lanigera (long-tailed chinchilla). Its description in RNAcentral is "7SK RNA (ENSCLAG00000022081.1)". It matches the Rfam family "7SK RNA". Rfam says of the family: 7SK was discovered as an abundant small nuclear RNA in the mid-70s but a possible function has only recently been suggested. Two independent studies have found that 7SK RNA binds the CDK9/cyclin T complex (known as elongation factor P-TEFb). Lineage: Eukaryota; Metazoa; Chordata; Mammalia; Rodentia; Chinchillidae. The record is from Rfam by way of RNAcentral.
GGAUGUGAGGGCGACUGGGCUGCAACAUGUGACCCCACCGAUCCCCAGGGCGGAUUCAGCUGGUCUGGCUGCCUAGGCGGGUGGUCCCUUCCUCCCUCAAUGCUCCACGUGCGUCCCUCCUGAUGCUGCGUGCUGUCAGAGGACCACUCAACAGAGGACGGUUCCUCCGUCAAGGGCAUACUAGUAGCUGCGCUCCCUGGCCACAACCUGCCAACAAGCUCUCAAGACUAUUCUGCAUCAACCCUGGAAAUCACUCAGACCCUAACUUAAAAUUUAAAAUUCACAGGCUGACUUGGAAUAAACAACUGAUCUUU